This 484-nucleotide ribosomal RNA is filed under the name uncultured bacterium. RNAcentral's name for it is "bacterial SSU rRNA". It matches the Rfam family "Bacterial small subunit ribosomal RNA", at positions 1 to 507 of the family's 1533-position model. The record is from RNAcentral.
AGUAGUUGACUCCGUGGCUCGAGGACGAACGCUGGCGGCGUGCUUAACACAUGCAAGUCGAACGGUAAGGCCUUUCGGGGUACACGAGUGGCGAACGGGUGAGUAACACGUGGGUGAUCUGCCCUGCACUUUGGGAUAAGCCUGGGAAACUGGGUCUAAUACCGAAUAGGACCAUGGACUUCACGGUUUGUGGUGGAAAGCUUUGCGGUGUGGGAUGGGCCCGCGGCCUAUCAGCUUGUUGGUGGGGUAAUGGCCUACCAAGGCGACGACGGGUAGCCGGCCUGAGAGGGUGACCGGCCACACUGGGACUGAGAUACGGCCCAGACUCCUACGGGAGGCAGCAGUGGGGAAUAUUGCACAAUGGGCGCAAGCCUGAUGCAGCGACGCCGCGUGAGGGAUGACGGCCUUCGGGUUGUAAACCUCUUUCGGCACAGACGAAGCGCAAGUGACGGUAUGUGCAGAAGAAGGACCGGCCAACUACGUG